RNAcentral lists this ribosomal RNA (399 nucleotides) under uncultured bacterium. Its description in RNAcentral is "bacterial SSU rRNA". It matches the Rfam family "Bacterial small subunit ribosomal RNA", at positions 355 to 747 of the family's 1533-position model. The record is from RNAcentral.
UGAGGAAUAUUGCGCAAUGGGGGAAACCCUGACGCAGCAACGCCGCGUGAGUGAGGAAGGUUUUCGGACCGUAAAGCUCUGUCGAGCGGGAAGAAGUGCAUGGUGGCUAAUAUCCAUUAUGCUUGACGGUACCGCUAAAGGAAGCACCGGCUAACUCCGUGCCAGCAGCCGCGGUAAUACGGGGGGUGCUAGCGUUGUUCGGAAUCAUUGGGCGUAAAGAGCGUGUAGGCGGCUGGAUAAGUCAGAUGUGAAAGCCCUGGGCUUAACCUAGGAAGUGCAUUUGAAACUGUUCAGCUUGAGUAAGGGAGAGGAGAGUGGAAUUCCUGGUGUAGAGGUGAAAUUCGUAGAUAUCAGGAGGAACACCGGUGCGAAGCGACUUUCUGGCCCUAUACUGACGCU